CUUUGAGCCUCACCAGGUGUCUUUAGAUGUAUUUCCAGGAGUCUCCAGAUGUCUCCAAAUGUCUCCAGGUGACUCAGUUUGUCUUCAGGUUUUUCUCAAGGUGUCUUGAAGUCUCUCCAGAUAUCUCCAGAUGUCUCUAGAUGUCUCCAGGUGACUCAGUGUGUCUUCAGGUGUUACUCCAGGUGUCUUACAGUCUCUCUAGAGAUAUGCAGAUGUCUCUAUGUUUCUCCAGGUGUCUCCAUGUGUCUCUAUGUAUCUCCAGGUAUCUCCAGGUGUCUUGCAGUCUCUCUAGAGAUAUCCAGGUGUCUCUAUGUUUCCCCAGGUGUCUCCAGGUGUUUCUAUGUAUCUCCAGGUCUCUCCAGGUGUUUCUAUGUAUCACCAGGUGUCUCCAGGUGUUUCUAUGUAUCUCCAGGUCUCUCCAUGUGUGUCUAUGUAUCUCCAGGUGUCUCCAGGUGUCUUACAGUCUCUCUAGAGAUAUCCAGGUGUCUCUAUGUAUCUCCAGGUGUCUCCAGGUGUUUCUAUGUAUCUCCAGGUGUCUCCAGGUGUACUGUUUGUUUAUUUGAUGAAGCUGUAGAGGAAUGAUCCAACGAUGAGGGACAGAAUCACACAGCAGCAGAAGAUCAUCAUUUGUUUC
Labrus mixtus (cuckoo wrasse) is the source of this 634-nucleotide long non-coding RNA. RefSeq lists it as uncharacterized. NCBI's taxonomy places the organism in Eukaryota, Metazoa, Chordata, Actinopteri, Labriformes, Labridae. The transcript has 3 exons. The record is from RefSeq and is a predicted model, not a curated record.